AACUGGUGCAGCUUUUACUGUAUAUAUCAAUUUUUAUCUUGGACAAAGGUUGCUGAAUCAUAGCGAUGCUGUUCGUGAAGAAUUGUGUGAUGUUCCGUUUUAUACAUUAUCCAUAAAUACACAAAAAAUGCUACUAUUUAUAAUAACUAAAAGUAGAAAACCGUGCUUUCUAUCAAUCGGUAAUAUGUUUGUCUCUUCGCACCAAGUUUUUGCUGGGCUUAUGCGGAAAGCACUUUCUUUUGCAAUGGUAUAUAAAAGUGUACCAUAAUUCAAUGCAACGAAAAAACAACAGACAAAAAUCU
Molecule: long non-coding RNA, 302 nt
Filed under: Polistes fuscatus (common paper wasp)
Lineage: Eukaryota; Metazoa; Arthropoda; Insecta; Hymenoptera; Vespidae
Description: uncharacterized LOC122526741
Source: RNAcentral